ACCAGUCACAGUGGUGCACAUCUGUAGUCCCAGCUACUCAGGAGGCGGAGGCAGGAAGAAGGUUUGAGCCCAGGUGUUCUGAGCUAUAAUGCGCUAUGCCAAUUGGGUGUCUGCAUUAAGUUUGACAUCAAUAUGGUGACCUCCCAGGAGCAGGGGACCAUCAGGUUGCUUAAGGUAGGAUAAAUUAGCCCUGGGUCAGAAACGAGCAGGUCAAAACUGCUGUGCUGAUCAGUAGUGGGAUAGUGCCUGCAAAUAGCCACUGUACUCCAAGCUGGGCAACAUAGCAAGACCCUGUCUCUU
Molecule: non-coding RNA, 300 nt
Organism: Otolemur garnettii (small-eared galago)
Lineage: Eukaryota; Metazoa; Chordata; Mammalia; Primates; Galagidae
Source: Rfam